Molecule: ribosomal RNA, 504 nt
Filed under: uncultured bacterium
Lineage: Bacteria
Description: partial 16S ribosomal RNA
Rfam family: Bacterial small subunit ribosomal RNA
Source: RNAcentral
AUUGAACGCUGGCGGUAUGCUUAACACAUGCAAGUCGAACGGUAACAGGCCUAGCUUGCUAGGUGCUGACGAGUGGCGGACGGGUGAGUAACGCGUAGGAAUCUGCCUUAUUGUGGGGGAUAACCUGGGGAAACUCAGGCUAAUACCGCAUGAGCCCUUAGGGGGAAAGGAUGGGACCGAAAGGCCAUUCGCGAUAAGAUGAGCCUGCGUUGGAUUAGCUAGUUGGUGGGGUAAAAGCCUAACAAGGCGAGGAUCCAUAGCUGGUCUGAGAGGACGAUCAGCCACACUGGGACUGAGACACGGCCCAGACUCCUACGGGAGGCAGCAGUGGGGAAUAUUGGACAAUGGGGGCAACCCUGAUCCAGCAAUACCGCGUGUGUGAAGAAGGCCUGCGGGUUGUAAAGCACUUUCAGUGGGGAGGAAGAGCUCGGUGCUAAUAGUAUCGAGUUGAGACGUUACCCACAGAAGAAGCACCGGCUAACUCUGUGCCAGCCGCCGCAGUAA